Molecule: ribosomal RNA, 270 nt
Filed under: uncultured archaeon
Lineage: Archaea
Description: partial 16S ribosomal RNA
Rfam family: Archaeal small subunit ribosomal RNA
Source: RNAcentral
CUGCGCCACAAGUGGCAACCAUGAUUAUUGGGCCUAAAGCAUCCGUAGCCGGCGCUGUAAGUUUUCGGUUAAAUCUGUACGCUCAACGUACAGGCUGCCGGGAAUACUGCAGCGCUAGGGAGUGGGAGAGGUAGACGGUACUCGGUAGGAAGGGGUAAAAUCCUUUGAUCUAUUGAUGACCACCUGUGGCGAAGGCGGUCUACCAGAACACGUCCGACGGUGAGGGAUGAAAGCUGGGGGAGCAAACCGGAUUAGAUACCCGAGUAGUCC